GACGUGGGGGGCCAGCGUUGCUCGGAAUUACUGGGCGUAAAGGGUUCGUAGGCGGUGUGGCAAGUCGGGAGUGAAAUCUCUGGGCUUAACCCAGAGACUGCUUCCGAAACUGCUGUGCUUGAGUGUGGGAGAGGCGCGUGGAAUUGCAGGUGUAGCGGUGAAAUGCGUAGAUAUCAGGAGGAACACCGGUGGUGUAGACGGCUUUCUGGACCGUAACUGACGCUGAGACACGAAAGCGUGGGUAGCAAACAGG
RNAcentral lists this ribosomal RNA (253 nucleotides) under uncultured bacterium. RNAcentral's name for it is "partial 16S ribosomal RNA". It matches the Rfam family "Bacterial small subunit ribosomal RNA", at positions 524 to 776 of the family's 1533-position model. The record is from RNAcentral.